UACGUAGGGGGCUAGCGUUGUCCGGAAUCAUUGGGCGUAAAGCGCGUGUAGGCGGUCCGGUAAGUCUGCUGUGAAAGUCGGGGGCUCAACCCUCGAAUGCCGGUGGAUACUGUCGGGCUAGAGUGCGGAAGAGGCGAGUGGAAUUCCUGGUGUAGCGGUGAAAUGCGCAGAUAUCAGGAGGAACACCAAUUGCGAAGGCAGCUCGCUGGGACGUAACUGACGCUGAGACGCGAAAGCGUGGGGAGCAAACAGG
RNAcentral lists this ribosomal RNA (253 nucleotides) under uncultured bacterium. RNAcentral's name for it is "partial 16S ribosomal RNA". It matches the Rfam family "Bacterial small subunit ribosomal RNA", at positions 524 to 776 of the family's 1533-position model. The record is from RNAcentral.